GACGAACGCUGGCGGCGUGCUUAACACAUGCAAGUCGAACGGAAAGGCCCUGCUUUUGUGGGGUGCUCGAGUGGCGAACGGGUGAGUAACACGUGAGUAACCUGCCCUUGACUUUGGGAUAACUUCAGGAAACUGGGGCUAAUACCGGAUAGGAGCUCCUGCUGCAUGGUGGGGGUUGGAAAGUUUCGGCGGUUGGGGAUGGACUCGCGGCUUAUCAGCUUGUUGGUGGGGUAGUGGCUUACCAAGGCUUUGACGGGUAGCCGGCCUGAGAGGGUGACCGGCCACAUUGGGGCUGAGAUACGGCCCAGACUCCUACGGGAGGCAGCAGUGGGGAAUAUUGCACAAUGGGCGGAAGCCUGAUGCAGCAACGCCGCGUGCGGGAUGACGGCCUUCGGGUUGUAAACCGCUUUCGCCUGUGACGAAGCGUGAGUGACGGUAAUGAGUAAAGAAGCACCGGCUAACUACGUG
RNAcentral lists this ribosomal RNA (468 nucleotides) under uncultured bacterium. RNAcentral describes it as "partial 16S ribosomal RNA". It matches the Rfam family "Bacterial small subunit ribosomal RNA", at positions 28 to 507 of the family's 1533-position model. The record is from RNAcentral.